RNAcentral lists this ribosomal RNA (502 nucleotides) under uncultured Desulfobulbus sp. RNAcentral describes it as "bacterial SSU rRNA". It matches the Rfam family "Bacterial small subunit ribosomal RNA", at positions 904 to 1382 of the family's 1533-position model. The record is from RNAcentral. Lineage: Bacteria; Pseudomonadati; Thermodesulfobacteriota; Desulfobulbia; Desulfobulbales; Desulfobulbaceae.
CGCCAGCCCGCUCAGAAACUCAAUGAAUUGACGGGGCCCGCACAAGCGGUGGAGUAUGUGGUUUAAUUCGAUGCAACGCGAAGAACCUUACCUGGUCUUGACAUCCCGGAGACCCUUAGGAACUAGGGGUGCUUCCAUCUGGAAGAAUCUGGAGACAGGUGCUGCAUGGCUGUCGUCAGCUCGUGUCGUGAGAUGUUGGGUUAAGUCCCGCAACGAGCGCAACCCUUGCCUUUAGUUGCCAGCAGUUCGGCUGGGCACUCUAAAGGGACUGCCGGUGUUAAACCGGAGGAAGGUGGGGAUGACGUCAAGUCCUCAUGGCCUUUAUGACCAGGGCUACACACGUACUACAAUGGCCGAUACAAAGGGCAGCGACACUGCGAGGUGAAGCCAAUCCCGUAAAAUCGGUCUCAGUCCGGAUUGGAGUCUGCAACUCGACUCCAUGAAGUUGGAAUCGCUAGUAAUCGUGGAUCAGCAUGCCACGGUGAAUACGUUCCCGGGCCUU